UCACUUGUGGGGGGAUUAGUGGCGAACGGGUGAGUAACACGUGAGUAACCUGCCCUUGACUCUGGGAUAAGCCUGGGAAACCGGGUCUAAUACUGGAUACGACCUUCUGGCGCAUGCCAUGUUGGUGGAAAGCUUUUGUGGUUUUGGAUGGACUCGCGGCCUAUCAGCUUGUUGGUGGGGUAAUGGCCUACCAAGGCGACGACGGGUAGCCGGCCUGAGAGGGUGACCGGCCACACUGGGACUGAGACACGGCCCAGACUCCUACGGGAGGCAGCAGUGGGGAAUAUUGCACAAUGGGCGCAAGCCUGAUGCAGCGACGCCGCGUGAGGGAUGAAGGCCUUCGGGUUGUAAACCUCUUUCAGUAGGGAAGAAGCUGGUCCUUCGGGGUUGGUGACGGUACCUGCAGAAGAAGCGCCGGCUAACUACGUGCCAGCAGCCGCGGUAAUACGUAGGGCGCAAGCGUUAUCCGGAAUUAUUGGGCGUAAAGAGCUCGUAGGCGGUUUGUCGCGUCUGCCGUGAAAGUCCGGGGCUUAACUCCGGAUCUGCGGUGGGUACGGGCAGACUAGAGUGCAGUAGGGGAGACUGGAAUUCCUGGUGUAGCGGUGAAAUGCGCAGAUAUCAGGAGGAACACCGAUGGCGAAGGCAGGUCUCUGGGCUGUAACUGACGCUGAGGAGCGAAAGCAUGGGGAGCGAACAGGAUUAGAUACCCUGGUAGUCCAUGCCGUAAACGUUGGGCACUAGGUGUGGGGGACAUUCCACGUUUUCCGCGCCGUAGCUAACGCAUUAAGUGCCCCGCCUGGGGAGUACGGCCGCAAGGCUAAAACUCAAAGGAAUUGACGGGGGCCCGCACAAGCGGCGGAGCAUGCGGAUUAAUUCGAUGCAACGCGAAAGAACCUUACCAAGGGCUUGACAUGAACCCG
This 920-nucleotide ribosomal RNA is filed under the name Arthrobacter agilis. Its description in RNAcentral is "bacterial SSU rRNA". It matches the Rfam family "Bacterial small subunit ribosomal RNA", at positions 76 to 994 of the family's 1533-position model. The record is from RNAcentral. Lineage: Bacteria; Bacillati; Actinomycetota; Actinomycetes; Micrococcales; Micrococcaceae.